Long non-coding RNA from Felis catus (domestic cat), 1553 nucleotides. RefSeq lists it as uncharacterized. The record is from RefSeq and is a predicted model, not a curated record. Lineage: Eukaryota; Metazoa; Chordata; Mammalia; Carnivora; Felidae. The transcript has 6 exons.
CUGAAGUCGGAUGCUUGACCAACUGAGCCACCCAGGUGCCCCACUCAUGAUUGGAGUGUGGAUACACAAUACAGAAUGGCCAGCCAGUGCUCGAAUCUCCCUGGCCAAGAUAAUUAAUUGGUUCAUGCUCAGACAAAGGACUCACCAGAGACAAAAGGGGCAGAGGCAGAGGACGAGGAGAUCAGAGAAAACAGGAAGGCAUUUUGCAGGAUUUGCAAUAGCUCCGUUCAGAAGCAAUGAAUGUCUGAGACAGAGCGUGACAAUGAGGAGGAAAUCAGCAGCAGCCCAGAGUUAUCUGAAGGUCACUGGACAGUGGUAAGAGAUAAGACGUCCAGGGAGACUGGGGACGUCAUAUGUAUUUGACAAAGCCUCUAUCAGCCUGGUUCUCUGAGUGACUAUGUAGGGAAGAACAUUCCUCCCUAUCAUCACCAACCCUGAUGACGUGAAAUUGUCCCGGGCUGCCAGGAUAAAGCCUUCAAGAUCCUAUCCAUGGCAGCAUUUGUUAUCUCUUAUCUUUUUGAUGGUGGCGAUUAUAACAGGUGUGAAGCAAUAUCUCAUUGUGGUGAGAUGGUAUCGCAAUAUUAAAAAAAUUUUUUUAAUGUCAUCCCUUGACAGUUUCCUAUCAAUGGCAUUACCACUUGGGUGCUGCAGGCAUGGCAUUUCCUCAUUGGGAAGUGGAGUCUAUUUCUUUCUCCUUUAAUCUGGAAUGAUCUUAGUGACUUGGAUUGAUACUGUUAUAUUGCAAAAGAGAUGUUCUGGAACUUUCAAUAGCAUCUUUGGAGAAAUCCAGUGACCAGGGAAGAAGUCCAGCAAUCCUGUGGCUACCAUGCUGUGAGAUGCCAUAGUGUUGUGAAGAUAUCUUAAAGGUGAGGUUGAGAUGCCAUGGAGAUGGAGAUAGAAACAAAAGGUAGGGAGAGAGAGAGAGAGAGAGAGAGAGAGACAGGGAGAGACCAGGUAGCACCAUGGCUCCAGGUGUGUGAGUGAAGAAGCCACCUUGGAAGUGGUUCACCAGGCCCAGCUGCCCCAGCUGAUGCCUAACACACAAAAGCAUCUUGUUUACAUCUUCAUAUAGCCCCCUACCCUUGACUCUAGGCUGACCUGUAACUCAUUCUUGGUCAAUAAAAUGUGGCAGAAGUCAUACUGUAUACUUUCUGAGGCUAGAAGCCUUGAAGCUUUUGCCUGAGCCUCUUGUCAUGCUUAGUUGUCUUCCUCUGCCUCUUGAAGUCCAGCUGCCAUGAUAUGGGAAGCCCAAGCCCUAUGGAGGCCAUGCAUAGGCACUCUGGCUUAAAGUUCCAGGUAAGCUUCCAGCAGAUAGCCAGCAUCAACUGCCAGCACAUGAGUGGGUCGUGUUGGUCUUUAGCCCAGUCAAGUUUCGGAUGGCUACAUACCCAUCUGAUAUGCAAGAUCUCAACUGAGAAUUGCUUAGCUUGGUCCAGUUAGCACCAGAAGUUCAAAAGGUAAUAAUUAAUUGUUUUAUUUAUUUAUUUAUUUAUUUAUUUUUAAUUUUUUUUUAACAUUUAUUUAUUUUUGAGACAGAGAGAGACAGAGCAUGA